This 2558-nucleotide long non-coding RNA is filed under the name Zalophus californianus (California sea lion). Its description in RNAcentral is "lncRNA (ENSZCAG00015010831.1)". Lineage: Eukaryota; Metazoa; Chordata; Mammalia; Carnivora; Otariidae. The record is from RNAcentral.
UUUUUAGUUCAUUUUUAAAAACAGCUUUUUUUUAAAGUAAUGAACAGGCUUUGUGUUAAAAUAAGUGAUUCUGUUUUUCUCUCCAAUUUUUAGGUAUUGAACGUGGUGUAGAUUGAAGGAGCAAAAGAUCUCUUCUUCCUUUCGUAGUUGACCUGUGAACAACACUGGUUUGAACUGCACUGGUUCACUUAUACGUGGAUUUUUUUUGAUGAAUACAAUACUAACUCAUCUUAUAUUUGAAGAUGCUGGUGUGGAAGAUUAUAGUGAGGUUCACCUUCAAAUUUUAAGAUUUGAAGAAACAUGGAACACAAGCUAAAACAAAUGUAAUGGAUAUGCUGACCAGGAAGACCGCUUUCUUUGGGAAGCUGGAGAAGCAGUCCCUGACAGCUCCAAGGCUACUUGUAGCCAAACUAUUCCGAGAUCAUAAAGGAAAAAAACUCCUCUCUCCCAGAAUCGGUUUCUUCUAAGGUCCAGAAGGCCCUUUUGAUUAACCAAGCUUGGCUUGUGUGCUGACUCCUGUGGCCAGAGAAGUGGAGUCUUUAACCAGAGAAGGGAUGUCACACAGGUAUGGCCACCAGAGAAUUGUUGGGAGGCAGUCAAGUGCCCAGUGUGACCGGUGCAGAUUUGAAGAGCUAGGGGGCCACAGUAUAUGAUGUGGGAUUUAUUCAUGGGUUUUCAUUUUAGCUAUUUCAAAUGAAAUAAACUUCAGUUAGUUUUGUGAAUCUCAGUGUUGCGUGGGGCUUAGUAGGAGAUACAGUACCACAUACGGCUCAGUGCCUGCAUUCAGGGAGCUUAGAAUGUAAUGAUAGAGAUAAAGAGGCACCUGAAGUCCCAGCUGUAAACAAUACAAGGGUUUUAGGGAAAGAGCUGAAAUCCUAAAGCAGAUGAAUAUGGAACUUGAAGGGUUACAUUGAUAAUAGUUUUUGCCAGGCAUUUUGCCCCAAAUCACAUUCCUAAGCCAAAUACAAUUGGUAUUUGUGUUUUAAGAUCAAAUGAUCUUAAUGAUCAAAACGUCAUAGAUAAAAGAGAAAAUUGAUACUUUUUCUCGAACUUUUAGCCUUUAUCUUUUUUUCGUGGGUGUUGUCUGUGUUGGUAUAUACACAGACAGCCUUUUCCUUUGGAAAGUUACAUUAUUGUGCUGAAAUAUAUUUUGCUUUUAGCAAUAAAUAUGACAGUAUGGUUCUUUGGUCUUCUAUUUUCUAGACAUAGCUUGUAUAACAGAAAACAAUUAUUUUCUCCUUCGAAUCAAGGAAUCGGUAGCUCACUCAGAAAUUCAUCUGGACGGAAUUUUGCAUAUUAAGUUAUAUUCUGUUGGCAGUUAGAUUGUUGGAAAAGUGUGAAAAGUUUCAGUCAGUCUAUGUUUUGCUUCGUCAUACAAAUUAACUUCUUGGUUUUAUAAUCUGAAGCACAUGCAUAUUAAGUAGAGGAAACUAAUUGCAGUAAAUCCUGGCAAUAAUCCGGAUGUUUCAAUAAUAUCACAUUGUUAAUUCUGAGUUUACUUGUAACCCUGUUGCAUAAGGGUCUUAUUUUUCAAUUGUUUUAGUCUUGUUGGCCUCGGCUUCUCUGAUGAUUAAAUUGAAUCGAUUAGAUUUUGUUUAAUUAGAUUUUAUACUUUGACGUCACGUCAUGGCUUUUGAAAGCAUUUUGCACCCUCUUCAUCGUGGGCAAUACCUACAGAUUUAGCUAGUGGUUCAUAUAUACUCUGUUUCUUUCUUUCGUGGAAUUUUUAUUGCAAUAGGCAAUAACCGAUUUACAUACUUCGGGGAUGCUAGAGGAUCACUCCUUGCUUUUAAACGUAGGAUAUAUCCAUCCCAAUAAUAUUUUUAGUGACUGCCAAAAUGACUGUUUGCUCCAGCAUUUAUGCCCCUUUUUCACUGUAGGGUAAAUGGCCCUUCAAACUAAAUGGGGAUGUUUAAUAUUCCAGGGAUUUAACCCACGAUCUUUGAUGAAUGCCAGUGCUGUUUUAAAAAGAAUUGCUGUCUUGGUGUAAAUAAAAUCAAAAUCCUGGCAUUACAAUCUAAUUGAGAAAUCUGUUUGGAACGUCGGGUCACUAGAGAUCAUAUGUGACCUCCCGGAGCAAAAGAAAACGCAAACGAUGAUGGCAAGGGGGUAUAGGAUGUUGAGGAAACACACAGCAGUAGCGCCCAGCCCAGUCUCCACAGAUCAAGACAGUGGCCACUUCAACUGAGAAUCAGAAGACUCCUAGUAGCGAUACUUAGCCUUAGGGGAAAAAAAUUCUGGUCAGAGGAGAUAGUACGCAGGAAAGCCCAGAGGUGAAAGAGAGGUUGGCAGUUUGGGAGCAACUAAAAGAUUUAUUUUUUAUUUUUUAUUUUUUUAAGAUUUUAUUUAUUUAUUUGAGAGAGAGAGAAUGAGAGAUAGAGAGCACGAGAGGGAAGAGGGUCAGAGGGAGAAGCAGACUCCCCGCCGAGCAGGGAGCCCGAUGCGGGACUCGAUCCCAAGGACUCCAGGAUCAUGAUCUGAGCCGAAGGCAGUCGCUUAACCAACUGAGCCACCCAGGCGCCCAAGAUAAAUUCCCUUUAGCUGCAGCAGAGAGAGGG